This 459-nucleotide ribosomal RNA is filed under the name uncultured bacterium. RNAcentral describes it as "partial 16S ribosomal RNA". It matches the Rfam family "Bacterial small subunit ribosomal RNA", at positions 338 to 795 of the family's 1533-position model. The record is from RNAcentral.
CCUACGGGAGGCAGCAGUGAGGAAUAUUGGUCAAUGGGCGCGAGCCUGAACCAGCCAAGUCGCGUGAGGGAAGACGGUCCUAUGGAUUGUAAACCUCUUUUGUCGGGGAGCAAAAGACGCCACGUGUGGCGGUCCGAGAGUACCCGAAGAAAAAGCAUCGGCUAACCCCGUGCCAGCAGCCGCGGUAAUACGGAGGAGGCGAGCGUUAUACGGAUUUAUUGGGUUCAAAGGGUGAGCAGGCGGAAGAUCAAGUCAGCGGUAAAAUUGAGGGGCUCAACCUCUUCGAGCCGUUGAAACUGGUUUUCUUGAGUGAGCGAGAAGUAUGCGGAAUGCGUGGUGUAGCGGUGAAAUGCAUAGAUAUCACGCAGAACUCCGGUUGCGAAGGCAGCAUACCGGCGCUCAACUGACGCUCAGGCACGAAAGUGUGGGUAUCGAACAGGAUUAGAUACCCUUGUAGUC